AGUCGUAACAAGGUUUCUGUAGGUGAACCUGCAGAAGGAUCAUUAGUGAAGAUUUGGGCAGGCCAUACGGACGCCAAAAAGUGUCCCUGGCCGCCUACACCCACUAUACAUCCACAAACCCGUGUGCACUGUCUUGGAGAAAGGCUUCAGAGAAGUUUUUUGUGGCCUCUCUUGGGGUCUUUCUUCGCUACAAACUCGAAUGGUUAGUAUGAACGUGGAACUUGGUCGGACCGUCACUGGCCAACAAACUAUACACAACUUUCGACAACGGAUCUCUUGGUUCUCCCAUCGAUGAAGAACGCAGCGAAACGCGAUAGGUAAUGUGAAUUGCAGAAUUCCGUGAAUCAUCGAAUCUUUGAACGCACCUUGCGCUCUAUGGCAAUCCGUAGAGCAUGCCUGUUUGAGUGCCAUGAAAUCUCCCACCCCAAGCGGUUUUUAAAUGAAACGGCUUGGCGGAUGGGGUCUGGAUGGGUGCCUCUGCCUGCGCUACCUAGCACAGGCUCGCCCGAAAUGCAUGAGCGCCUUGAGACACUUUGCAUCCGCCUCUCUGUUUGGGAGGAGGCGGCCAAGCAGUGUUUUUCUCCUGGCAUGGCAUGAUACGUCAUUUGCUAUGUCGCCUAAAGGAGGAAUGUUUGGUUGUGUCUGCGUGUGCUUCGAACUUGCCUCUGUGGCACAUCCCAAUUUCACUUCUGGUCUCAAAUCAGGUAGGAUCACCCGCUGAACUUAAGCAUAUCAAUAAAGUCG
RNAcentral lists this ribosomal RNA (744 nucleotides) under uncultured fungus. RNAcentral describes it as "eukaryotic LSU rRNA". The stretch from base 257 to 410 matches the Rfam family "5.8S ribosomal RNA". Lineage: Eukaryota; Fungi. The record is from RNAcentral.